GAAAUGCGAUAAGUAAUGUGAAUUGCAGAAUUCAGUGAAUCAUCGAAUCUUUGAACGCACAUUGCGCCCGCCAGCACUCUGGCGGGCAUGCCUGUUCGAGCGUCAUUUCAACCCUCAGAACCCCUUGCGGGAUCUGGCGUUGGGGAUUGGCAUCCAGCCAGCCCCGAAAUAUAGUGGCGGUCCCUCCGCGACCUCCCCUGUGCAGUAGCGAUACCUCGCAGCGGGACAGCGGUCUGACCACGCCGUAAAACCCCCAACUUCUCAAGGUUGACCUCGAAUCAGGUAGGAAUACCCGCUGAACUUAAGC
RNAcentral lists this unclassified non-coding RNA (307 nucleotides) under plant metagenome. Its description in RNAcentral is "partial contains 5.8S ribosomal RNA, internal transcribed spacer 2, and large subunit ribosomal RNA". The stretch from base 1 to 105 matches the Rfam family "5.8S ribosomal RNA", at positions 50 to 154 of the family's 154-position model. The record is from RNAcentral.